GUGAGGAAUAUUGGUCAAUGGGCGAGAGCCUGAACCAGCCAAGUAGCGUGAGGGAUGACUGCCCUAUGGGUUGUAAACCUCUUUUGCAGGGGGGUAAAGUGGUCCACGUGUGGAUCAUUGCAAGUACCCUGCGAAUAAGGAUCGGCUAACUCCGUGCCAGCAGCCGCGGUAAUACGGAGGAUCCGAGCGUUAUCCGGAUUUAUUGGGUUUAAAGGGAGCGUAGGCGGGGGUUUAAGUCAGCUGUGAAAUGCCGUGGCCCAACCAUGGAACUGCAGUUGAAACUGGACCUCUUGAGAGUACAUAAGGAAGGCGGAAUUCGUGGUGUAGCGGUGAAAUGCAUAGAUAUCACGAAGAACUCCGAUUGCGAAGGCAGCUUUCCGGGGUACAUCUGACGCUGAAGCUCGAAAGUGCGGGAAUCAAACAGGAUUAGAAACCCGAGUAGUCC
Molecule: ribosomal RNA, 445 nt
Filed under: uncultured bacterium
Lineage: Bacteria
Description: partial 16S ribosomal RNA
Rfam family: Bacterial small subunit ribosomal RNA
Source: RNAcentral